Molecule: long non-coding RNA, 561 nt
Filed under: Elaeis guineensis (African oil palm)
Lineage: Eukaryota; Viridiplantae; Streptophyta; Magnoliopsida; Arecales; Arecaceae
Description: long non-coding RNA (EGUI_LNC024055)
Source: RNAcentral
AUGCACACACCAGAGUUGCCCGAUGUGGAACUAUUAAGGGAGGUCCCUCCACAGCCUGCCCACAACACAAGACAUUCAACCUGACAAAAUUUUAAUAUAAUAUGCAAAAUAGUAUAUUUCAAGCAAUGGCAAUAACAAAACAACUAACUAUUAUAUAUAAAUUUUACUUUAUCUUUACAGUAAUUCAUGUAAGUUUCAUACCACAUCAUCGAAUACAACUAUCCCAAAAAUAACCGUCUUUCACAGACCAUCCUUGUCUCUAUACAUGAUUUCCAAAAUAUCAAAGUCUGAUCUUCCAAAAAUGAUUUUUGAAACUGAAAACUACAGGUGAAAAUUUAUAAGCUUUAUGGCUCAGUAAGUAACAAAUACACAUGUAGCAUUGAUUUAAGCUGUGUUAAUAUGUAACUCAAAUGCAUCAUAUAAUGUAUGAUAUCAAUCUGUUUAUGAAGCAGAGUUAUACAAUUAAUGACAUUUGAAAUACAAUCUUAUCUAUUUUUCUAUAACAGAAAAUAAAAUCAGUAAAAAAUUUGAAGAUCCAAUAUAUACCCAUUUACAUAAUAG